RNAcentral lists this ribosomal RNA (488 nucleotides) under uncultured bacterium. RNAcentral's name for it is "partial 16S ribosomal RNA". It matches the Rfam family "Bacterial small subunit ribosomal RNA", at positions 28 to 507 of the family's 1533-position model. The record is from RNAcentral.
GACGAACGCUGGCGGCGUGCUUAACACAUGCAAGUCGAACGGAAAGGCCCUGCUUUUGCGGGGUGCUCGAGUGGCGAACGGGUGAGUAACACGUGAGUAACCUGCACUUGACUUUGGGAUAACUUCAGGAAACUGGGGCUAAUACCGGAUAGGAGCUCCUGCUGCAUGGUGGGGGUUGGAAAGUUUCGGCGGUUGGGGAUGGACUCGCGGCGUAUCAGCUUGUUGGUGGGGUAGUGGCUUACCAAGGCUUCGACGGGUAGCCGGCCUGAGAGGGUGACCGGGCACACUGGAACUGCGACACGGUGCAGACGCCUACGGGAGGCGGCAGUGGGGAAUCGUCAGCAAUGGGGGAAAGGCUGAUGGAGCAAUGCCGGGUGAGUGAUGAAGGUCUUAGGAUCGUAAAACUCGGUGAGUAGGGAGGAAAAGAUGUGGAAGUACAUGUGACCAGCUGGACGGGAACUAAUGAGAAAGCGACGGAUAACUACGUG